GUGUCAGCCGCCGCGGUAAUACGGAGGGUGCAAGCGUUAAUCGGAAUUACUGGGCGUAAAGCGCACGCAGGCGGUUGGAUAAGUUAGAUGUGAAAGCCCCGGGCUCAACCUGGGAAUUGCAUUUGAAACUGGCAGGCUAGAGUACUGUAGAGGGGGGUAGAAUUUCAGGUGUAGCGGUGAAAUGCGUAGAGAUCUGAAGGAAUACCGGUGGCGAAGGCGGCCCCCUGGACAGAUACUGACACUCAGAUGCGAAAGCGUGGGGAGCAAACAGGAUUAGAUACCCCCGUAGUCC
This 292-nucleotide ribosomal RNA is filed under the name uncultured prokaryote. RNAcentral's name for it is "partial 16S ribosomal RNA". It matches the Rfam family "Bacterial small subunit ribosomal RNA", at positions 505 to 796 of the family's 1533-position model. The record is from RNAcentral.